RNAcentral lists this ribosomal RNA (506 nucleotides) under uncultured bacterium. Its description in RNAcentral is "partial 16S ribosomal RNA". It matches the Rfam family "Bacterial small subunit ribosomal RNA", at positions 29 to 523 of the family's 1533-position model. The record is from RNAcentral.
AGUGAACGCUGGCGGUAGGCCUAACACAUGCAAGUCGAACGGCAGCACAGGAGAGCUUGCUCUCUGGGUGGCGAGUGGCGGACGGGUGAGGAAUACAUCGGAAUCUACUUUUUCGUGGGGGAUAACGUAGGGAAACUUACGCUAAUACCGCAUACGACCUCCGGGUGAAAGCAGGGGAGUUUCGGACCUUGCGCGAUUGAAUGAGCAGAUGUCGGAUUAGCUAGUUGGCGGGGUAAAGGCCCACCAAGGCGACGAUCCGUAGCUGGUCUGAGAGGAUGAUCAGCCACACUGGAACUGAGACACGGUCCAGACUCCUACGGGAGGCAGCAGUGGGGAAUAUUGGACAAUGGGCGCAAGCCUGAUCCAGCCAUACCGCGUGGGUGAAGAAGGCCUUCGGGUUGUAAAGCCCUUUUGUUGGGAAAGAGAUCCAGCUGGUUAAUACCCGGUUGGGAUGACGGUACCCAAAGAAUAAGCACCGGCUAACUUCGUGCCAGCAGCCGCAGUAA